ACUGAUUUGGCCAUUUUGGUGUUGUUUGGUCAAUGUCCUUCAGAAUAAUGUGUUGGUCGAUGACCUCUAGGCUGCACCAUAAGAGGUCAUAGCCUUCUGUGGAGCAACCUGGACCUGCUGUGGACCUGAUGGUGUCCCCAGCCUUAGGUCCCUGGGGUUAGGGUCCCCAUGGUUAGGUCCCCAGGGUUAGGGUACCCAUGGUUAGGUCCCCGGGGUUACUGUUCCCAGGGUUACGGUCCCCAAGGUUAGGGUUAGGUCCCCAUGGUUACUGUUCCCAGGGUUACGGUCCCCAGGGUUAGGUCCCCAGGGUUAGGUCCCCAGGGUUAGGGUUCCCAGGGUUAGGUCCCCAUGGUUAGGUCCCCAUGGUUAGGGUCCCCAUGGUUAGGUCCCCAUGGUUAGGGUCCCCAGGGUUAGGUCCCCAGGGUUACGGUCCCCAAGGUUACGGUCCCCAGUGUUACAGUCCCCAGGGUUAGGUCCCCAGGGUUACGGUCCCCAGGGUUAGGUCCCCAGGGUUAGGGUUCCCAGGGUUAGGGUCCCCAGUGUUAGGGUCCCCAGGGUUACGGUCCCCAGGGUUAUAGUCCCCAGGGUUACGGUCCCCAGUGUUACGGUCCCCAGGGUUAGGGUUCCCAGGGCACACCAUGGUGAUUCUCAGGCUGAUGGGAGAUAAUAUAGGAAGGGUCAAAAGGAUAUUUAGUGAUUCAUUUUCACAUCUGUUGUUUGUUGCUCAUCAGUCAGCAGCUGGUAGUUGGAUCAGAAAGGAUAGAAUUACAUUAAAUAUUUGUUUUGUGCGCCAAUAAUGACAUCUUUACUGUAAAUUAAAAUAGCGUUAAUUAAUUGCCAAUUACAUGUUUAUGAACAUUAUUGGCUAUAUCCCACAGAAUGUGAUGUUAGAUUGAGAUCUCUUUCUGUGCUAGUCCUAUCUCUCUAGGCUGCCCGUUAACUGACCUCUGACCUCUCUACACCUGCCCAGUAACUGACCUCUGAGUUCUUAAUGGGUUCUUCUUAUUUUACUGUACACAACCUCAGGGUCAGUGGUGACACUAUGGAAGCCUUGGCUUUUCAUAGCAGAGUGUGAGAGUGUGAGAGUGUGUGUGUGUG
Molecule: long non-coding RNA, 1098 nt
Organism: Oncorhynchus tshawytscha (Chinook salmon)
Lineage: Eukaryota; Metazoa; Chordata; Actinopteri; Salmoniformes; Salmonidae
Source: Ensembl